Molecule: ribosomal RNA, 757 nt
Filed under: uncultured bacterium
Lineage: Bacteria
Description: bacterial SSU rRNA
Rfam family: Bacterial small subunit ribosomal RNA
Source: RNAcentral
AGAGUUUGAUCAUGGCUCAGAUUGAACGCUGGCGGCAUGCCUUACACAUGCAAGUCGAACGGCAGCGCGGGGCAACCUGGCGGCGAGUGGCGAACGGGUGAGUAAUAUAUCGGAACGUACCCUGGAGUGGGGGAUAACGUAGCGAAAGUUACGCUAAUACCGCAUACGAUCCAAGGAUGAAAGCAGGGGACCUUCGGGCCUUGUGCUCCUGGAGCGGCCGAUAUCUGAUUAGCUAGUUGGUGAGGUAAAGGCUCACCAAGUCAUCGAUCAGUAGCUGGUCUGAGAGGACGAUCAGCCACACUGGAACUGAGACACGGUCCAGACUCCUACGGGAGGCAGCAGUGGGGAAUUUUGGACAAUGGGCGCAAGCCUGAUCCAGCAAUGCCGCGUGAGUGAAGAAGGCCUUCGGGUUGUAAAGCUCUUUUGUCAGGGAAGAAACGGCUGUGGCUAAUAUCCAUGGCUAAUGACGGUACCUGAAGAAUAAGCACCGGCUAACUACGUGCCAGCAGCCGCGGUAAUACGUAGGGUGCAAGCGUUAAUCGGAAUUACUGGGCGUAAAGCGUGCGCAGGCGGUUUUGUAAGUCUGACGUGAAAUCCCCGGGCUUAACCUGGGAAUUGCGUUGGAGACUGCAAGGCUAGAAUCUGGCAGAGGGGGGUAGAAUUCCACGUGUAGCAGUGAAAUGCGUAGAGAUGUGGAGGAACACCGAUGGCGAAGGCAGCCCCCUGGGUCAAGAUUGACGCUCAUGCACGAAAGCGU